UACAGAGGUCCCGAGCGUUGUUCGGAUUCAUUGGGCGUAAAGGGUGCGUAGGCGGUCUGCUAAGUUUGAUGUGAAAUCCCGGGGCUCAACCCUGGAAUGGCAUUGAAUACUGGCGGACUAGAGUACCGGAGAGGAAACUGGAAUUUACGGUGUAGCAGUGAAAUGCGUAGAGAUCGUAAGGAAGACCAGUGGCGAAGGCGAGUCUCUGGACAGUUACUGACGCUGAGGCACGAAGGCCAGGGGAGCAAACGGG
RNAcentral lists this ribosomal RNA (253 nucleotides) under uncultured bacterium. RNAcentral describes it as "partial 16S ribosomal RNA". It matches the Rfam family "Bacterial small subunit ribosomal RNA", at positions 524 to 776 of the family's 1533-position model. The record is from RNAcentral.